GCCUAGCCAUAAACUUUGAUUAUCCGCCAGAGUACUACGAGCUACAGCUUAAAACUCAAAGGACUUGGCGGUGCUUUACACCCCCCUAGAGGAGCCUGUUCUAUAAUCGAUAAUCCCCGAUAAACCUCACCACCUAUUGCCAAUACAGCCUAUAUACCACCGUCCAGCCCGCCCUUUAAAGGGUAAACAGCAGGCAUAAUUAUAAACAUAAAAACGUCAGGUCAAGGUGUAGCAGAUAAGGUGGAAAGAAAUGGGCUACAUUUUCUAACUUAGAAAACACGGAUGAUUCUAUGAAAUAGUUUCUGAAGGAGGAUUUAGCAGUAAAAAGAAAUAAGAACGUUCUUUUUAAGACGGCAAUAAAGCGCGC
RNAcentral lists this ribosomal RNA (367 nucleotides) under Salamandra salamandra crespoi. RNAcentral's name for it is "partial 12S ribosomal RNA". It matches the Rfam family "Bacterial small subunit ribosomal RNA", at positions 794 to 1384 of the family's 1533-position model. Lineage: Eukaryota; Metazoa; Chordata; Amphibia; Caudata; Salamandridae. RNAcentral also lists the same sequence under 1 other name. The record is from RNAcentral.